Molecule: ribosomal RNA, 309 nt
Filed under: Exiguobacterium mexicanum
Lineage: Bacteria; Bacillati; Bacillota; Bacilli; Caryophanales
Description: bacterial SSU rRNA
Rfam family: Bacterial small subunit ribosomal RNA
Source: RNAcentral
UUGGUGGAGCAAGUGGUUUAAUUCGAAGCAACGCGAAGAACCUUACCAACUCUUGACAUCCCCCUGACCGGUACAGAGAUGUACCUUCCCCUUCGGGGGCAGGGGUGACAGGUGGUGCAUGGUUGUCGUCAUCUCGUGUCGUGAGAUGUUGGGUUAAGUCCCGCAACGAGCGCAACCCUUGUCCUUAUUUGCCACCAUUCAGUUGGGCACUCUAAGGAGACUGCCGGUGACAAACCGGAGGAAGGUGGGGAUGACGUCAAAUCAUCAUGCCCCUUAUGAGUUGGGCUACACACGGUGCUACAAUGGAAA